UCCCGUGUGGCUCAGUUGGUAGAGCAUGGUGCUUGUAACGCCAGGGUUGUAGGUUCGACUCCCACUGGGGAC
Molecule: transfer RNA, 72 nt
Filed under: Salmo salar (Atlantic salmon)
Lineage: Eukaryota; Metazoa; Chordata; Actinopteri; Salmoniformes; Salmonidae
Rfam family: tRNA
About the family: Transfer RNA (tRNA) molecules are approximately 80 nucleotides in length.
Source: Rfam by way of RNAcentral